UCCAAAUAAUGCGUAUGUUCUUCAUUUCGUGUUUGUUUUUAAUACGUAACAGUUGAUAUAAAAGGAGUCGCAUUUACGGGCGCAGGAAAUCACGGAAACGGCUUAAACAUUAAACUUAUUUCCGAUAGUUCAGUUAUAAAAUAGCUAUAGCAUAAAGUUAUAUACUUAAAACUUAUAUACUUAAAAGAAAAAAGUGUAUGUGGAAAAUUUGGAGUCAAAAGGUUGGAGAUGUGUACUUUACUGAGUUGAAAAAAUGUGAUGACAUUAUGAAUAUCAUCUGCAAAACUACAUAUAAGAAGAACAUCAGGCAAAGCUUAAGAAUAUAUAUCAAUAUAGAUAAAAAAUAUAUAUAGUUUAUAUUUUGGUAUAACUAUGGAAGGGUAUAAAAACGCGGAAAAAUUUAUUUCUUAAAAAAUUCUGCACGGAAUGUCUGAUUGAGAUGGCAAAGUGCAAAACUUUUGGAUUGCCAAGAAAACAGACAGUGAUGAAAUAGUCUCUGAAAUGCGACGGUCAAAAAUACUGAAAGCCAUGUACAUAUGUAUGUAGGAAACAAAAAAAAACCUCCUCCUAACUUUCGGUUCUAUUUAUUUAAAUUAACUAAAAGUUAAAAGGAUAUACUUUAUAUUUUCUUGUUUAUUGCAUACAUAAAUGCAUAGGCCCCACCAAAACAAUAUUGCCCAUCAAAUAUAGACACAUGGCAGCACAGCCCUGUAUACACACAGGUGGCAGCACAAAAUUGGUAGCUCCACUUAUAGGCCAAUAACUGGAGUUAAUGGAUUAUGGCAGAUAUAAGGUCUAUAUCGGGAGUUGCGUCAUCUCAUGGGUUAAAACUGUUCAGACGUUUGCUGUUGAAUAAAGUGAAAUAGACAUUUUAAAAAUAUUUUCAACGAAGUAAAGAGUGUUCAUUUUUUUUCGAAAAGCAUGUCAAUUAUUUAACGUAAAUUAAGAAUUUCUAAGAAACAAAUAGUGCAAACAGAAAAACAGAGGGAUAGGCUGACUUCAACGAGAUGUCUAUUUGGGAUAGUUAAACUACCAAUUAAGACGUAUAUAGGAGUAGAAUGCGAUUGAAGAAAUAUAAAUGCAUUAAUUUAUUAUUAUUAUUAAAAAAUUUUCAAAUUAAAAUGCCAUAAUUUAUUGUUAAAUGCUUGUACAUUUUUAAUAUUGUUUUCCGAGUUGACCAACAAACAAAAAUAUUUAAAAAGGUUUUUCAAUGUAAUUGUUAUAAAAAUGUUCAUAAAAGUAAAAUAAAUCACAUUUUUAAAUAAAAAAUAAACUAUAUUGCUGAAUAAAAAAAACAUUAAAAAAAAUUAAGUAAGUAGAGAAACAAAAUAGAUAUAUUUUCUA
Long non-coding RNA from Drosophila ananassae, 1344 nucleotides. RefSeq lists it as uncharacterized. NCBI's taxonomy places the organism in Eukaryota, Metazoa, Arthropoda, Insecta, Diptera, Drosophilidae. The transcript is spliced from 6 exons. The record is from RefSeq and is a predicted model, not a curated record.